This 389-nucleotide ribosomal RNA is filed under the name uncultured bacterium. RNAcentral's name for it is "bacterial SSU rRNA". It matches the Rfam family "Bacterial small subunit ribosomal RNA", at positions 28 to 419 of the family's 1533-position model. The record is from RNAcentral.
GACGAACGCUGGCGGCGUGCUUAACACAUGCAAGUCGAACGGUAAGGCCCCUUCGGGGUACGACGAGUGGCGAACGGGUGAGUAACACGUGAGCAACCUGCCCUUGACUCUGGAAUAACAGUUGGAAACAGCUGCUAAUACUGGAUAUGCACUCAUCUCCUCCUGGGGGUGAGUGGAAAGCUCCGGCGGUCAGGGAUGGGCUCGCGGCCUAUCAGCUUGUUGGUGAGGAAUGGCUCACCAAGGCUUCGACGGGUAGCCGGCCUGAGAGGGCGACCGGCCACACUGGGACUGAGAUACGGCCCAGACUCCUACGGGAGGCAGCAGUGGGGAAUAUUGCACAAUGGGCGCAAGCCUGAUGCAGCAACGCCGCGUGCGGGAUGACGGCCUGG